Molecule: ribosomal RNA, 336 nt
Filed under: Makalata didelphoides (Red-nosed armored tree-rat)
Lineage: Eukaryota; Metazoa; Chordata; Mammalia; Rodentia; Echimyidae
Description: partial 12S ribosomal RNA
Rfam family: Bacterial small subunit ribosomal RNA
Source: RNAcentral
AACCCUAGUUAAUAAAAUCCGGCGUAAAGAGUGUUAAAAAUAUAGUCAAAAUAAGAUUAAGGCUUAUCUAAGUUGUAAAAAACAACAGAUAAAAAUAAACUCAAUAACGAAAGUAAUCUUAAUAACUCUGUAUACACUAAAGCCAAGGCUCAAACUGGGAUUAGAUACCCCACUAUGCUUAGCCAUAAACAAAGAUAUUUUAUAACAAAAAUUUUCGCCUGAGGACUACUAGCAACAGCUUAAAACUCAAAGGACUUGGCGGUGCUUUAAACCCACCUAGAGGAGCCUGUUCUAUAAUCGAUAAACCCCGAUCAACCUUACCACUUCUAGCUAAGU